GACGAACGCUGGCGGCGUGCUUAACACAUGCAAGUCGAACGGUAAGGCCCUUCGGGGUACACGAGUGGCGAACGGGUGAGUAACACGUGGGUGAUCUGCCCUGCACUUCGGGAUAAGCCUGGGAAACUGGGUCUAAUACCGGAUAGGACCACUGCCUGCAUGGGUGGUGGUGGAAAGCUUUUGCGGUGUGGGAUGGGCCCGCGGCCUAUCAGCUUGUUGGUGGGGUGAUGGCCUACCAAGGCGACGACGGGUAGCCGGCCUGAGAGGGUGACCGGCCACACUGGGACUGAGAUACGGCCCAGACUCCUACGGGAGGCAGCAGUGGGGAAUAUUGCACAAUAGGCGCAAGCCUGAUGCAGCGACGCCGCGUGAGGGGUGACGGCCUUCGGGUUGUAAACCUCUUUCAGCACCGACGAAGCGCAAGUGACGGUAGGUGCAGAAGAAGGACCGGCCAACUACGUGCCAGCCGCCGCAGUAA
This 478-nucleotide ribosomal RNA is filed under the name uncultured bacterium. RNAcentral's name for it is "partial 16S ribosomal RNA". It matches the Rfam family "Bacterial small subunit ribosomal RNA", at positions 28 to 523 of the family's 1533-position model. The record is from RNAcentral.